This 429-nucleotide ribosomal RNA is filed under the name bacterium. Its description in RNAcentral is "partial 16S ribosomal RNA". It matches the Rfam family "Bacterial small subunit ribosomal RNA", at positions 355 to 776 of the family's 1533-position model. The record is from RNAcentral.
UAGGGAAUCUUCCACAAUGGACGCAAGUCUGAUGGAGCAACGCCGCGUGAGUGAAGAAGGUUUUCGGAUCGUAAAGCUCUGUUGUUGGUGAAGAAGGAUAGAGGCAGUAACUGGUCUUUAUUUGACGGUAAUCAACCAGAAAGUCACGGCUAACUACGUGCCAGCAGCCGCGGUAAUACGUAGGUGGCAAGCGUUGUCCGGAUUUAUUGGGCGUAAAGCGAGCGCAGGCGGAAUGAUAAGUCUGAUGUGAAAGCCCACGGCUCAACCGUGGAACUGCAUCGGAAACUGUCAUUCUUGAGUGCAGAAGAGGAGAGUGGAAUUCCUUGUGUAGCGGUGGAAUGCGUAGAUAUAUGGAAGAACACCAGUGGCGAAGGCGGCUCUCUGGUCUGCAACUGACGCUGAGGCUCGAAAGCAUGGGUAGCGAACAGG